CUGAGCUGACACUGCAAACCUGCAUGGGUGGGCUUUGGGCUCCAAGCAGGGGCCUUUGCCUGGGGAUCACUCCCCAACCACCACCUGGUCUCCCAGCCCUGCGGGCAGAAUGGGCUCCAGGGUAGCUCUCAGAACAACAGAGCCCUCUCCUCUCCCCUCUGCAGAUGGAACCCCCGGCAUCUGCUCCUAGUAGAGGCCAGUCUGGGCCUGACCUGGCAUUCCACCCUGCAGAUAGCGAGGUUCACUGGGGAGGAUUCUUCUCCCUAAAUACUGAGGCCUGAGUAGGAAAUUAUCCUCCCAGAACAUAGCAGGGUCCGGAAGAAGACAUUUUCCAAGGAGGCAGAACUGGGGGAGAAGCUGGAGUGAGACUGCACAGAGGAAGGUUUUUUAUUCCAAGGAUGACAAUUGUGGGAGCCCUGAUAACCACAAGAUAUGCUAUAACGGGGCAAGAGAAAAGAGGGCCUUUCAAGUAUCCUGGAGGCGACUUGCCUUCACCUUGAGUUCAGCCAAAGAAGAAUGCACCACUUCUCCUAUUCCCAAGGGUCACUCCGUGAAUAUUGGUUGAAUUUGUGAGUGAGCGAGUGAAUGGGUGGGUAAAUGAAAAAUACAAAAACAAAAAGGUCAGGCUUCCCACCUGGAGCACACAGGGACCAGCACAGGACUCAAUGGCUAUGUGAAUGCAGGAACUGCCACAUCCCUUUAGGAAAUGAAACAAUUUGAAACAAUCUGAGUAUACUGUUUCAAUGGCUUUUCCUAAAAUCCAUUCAUCAACCAGCAG
RNAcentral lists this long non-coding RNA (778 nucleotides) under Homo sapiens (human). Its description in RNAcentral is "HSALNT0049401". Lineage: Eukaryota; Metazoa; Chordata; Mammalia; Primates; Hominidae. The record is from RNAcentral.